CAGCCUCCUGGAGAAAAUUAUGCCAAUCCAAGGACAUGCUUCUUUCAUGUUCUCUUCAAGGCUGCAGCUUUGGCAUUUUACAUACUUUCUGCACUGUUUAUUGAUAAUUUUGUUAUCAUAUUUGUGGUGACUGUUCUUCUUGCUGCUCUUGAUUUUUGGGUGGUCAAGAAUGUGAGUGGUCGUAUUUUAGUUGGUCUUAGGUGGUGGAAUGAAAUAAAUGAUCUUGGCGAGAGCGUGUGGAAAUUUGAAUCCCUCGAACAAGAGUCAUUGGCCCGGCUGAACAAGAAGGAUUCGUGGUUAUUCUGGUGGACUCUUUACUUAACGGCCGUUGCAUGGGUUGUGCUUGGAAUUUUUUCUCUCAUAAGGUUUCAAGCAGACUACUGCCU
RNAcentral lists this unclassified non-coding RNA (386 nucleotides) under Hevea brasiliensis (rubber tree). Lineage: Eukaryota; Viridiplantae; Streptophyta; Magnoliopsida; Malpighiales; Euphorbiaceae. The record is from RNAcentral.